Molecule: ribosomal RNA, 630 nt
Filed under: uncultured soil bacterium
Lineage: Bacteria
Description: bacterial SSU rRNA
Rfam family: Bacterial small subunit ribosomal RNA
Source: RNAcentral
GCUGGCGGCGUGCCUAACACAUGCAAGUCGAGCGGGAUCCAUCCAGUAGCAAUACUGGGGAAGAUCUAGCGGCGAACGGGUGAGUAACACGUGAGAAACCUGCCCCGAAGUCUGGGAUAACCCGAGGAAACUCGAGCUAAUACCGGAUGCCCUCCUCUGGUCGCAUGGCCGGUGGAGGAAAGAUUCAUCGCUUCGGGAGGGUCUCGCGGCCUAUCAGCUAGUUGGUGGGGUAACGGCCCACCAAGGCGUCGACGGGUAGCUGGUCUGAGAGGACGAUCAGCCACACUGGGACUGAGACACGGCCCAGACUCCUACGGGAGGCAGCAGUGGGGAAUCUUGCGCAAUGGGCGAAAGCCUGACGCAGCAACGCCGCGUGCGGGAUGAAGGCCUUCGGGUUGUAAACCGCUUUCAGGAGGGACGAAAUUGACGGUACCUCCAGAAGAAGCCCCGGCCAACUACGUGCCAGCAGCCGCGGUAACACGUAGGGGGCAAGCGUUGUCCGGAUUUAUUGGGCGUAAAGAGCUCGUAGGCGGCUUAGUAAGUCGGGUGUGAAACCUCCAGGUUCAACCUGGAGACGCCACCCGAUACUGCUAUAGCUAGAGUCCGGUAGGGGAGCGUGGAAUUCCUGGU